RNAcentral lists this ribosomal RNA (468 nucleotides) under uncultured bacterium. RNAcentral's name for it is "bacterial SSU rRNA". It matches the Rfam family "Bacterial small subunit ribosomal RNA", at positions 30 to 521 of the family's 1533-position model. The record is from RNAcentral.
AUUGAACGCUGGCGGCAUGCCUUACACAUGCAAGUCGAACGGCAGCACGGGGGCAACCCUGGUGGCGAGUGGCGAACGGGUGAGUAACAUAUCGGAACAUACCCUAGAGUGGGGAUAACGUAGCGAAAGUUACGCUAAUACCGCAUACGAUCUAAGGAUGAAAGUGGGGGAUCUUCGGACCUCAUGCUCAUGGAGUGGCCGAUAUCUGAUUAGCUAGUUGGUGAGGUAAAGGCUUACCAAGGCGACGAUCAGUAGCUGGUUUGAGAGAACGACCAGCCACACUGGAACUGAGACACGGUCCAGACUCCUACGGAGGCAGCAGUGGGGAAUAUUGGACAAUGGGCGAAAGCCUGAUCCAGCAAUGCCGCGUGAGUGAUGAAGGCCUUAGGGUCGUAAAGCUCUUUACCCGGGAUGAUAAUGACAGUACCGGAGAAUAAGCCCGGCUAACUCCGUGCCAGCAGCCGCGGU